This 509-nucleotide ribosomal RNA is filed under the name Salmonella enterica. RNAcentral describes it as "bacterial LSU rRNA". It matches the Rfam family "Bacterial large subunit ribosomal RNA", at positions 1180 to 1682 of the family's 2925-position model. Lineage: Bacteria; Pseudomonadati; Pseudomonadota; Gammaproteobacteria; Enterobacterales; Enterobacteriaceae. The record is from RNAcentral.
GUAUAAGGCAGACACCGAAGGCGCGGGAUAGCAUUUAAAAGUAUCGGUAGGGGAGCAUACUCACAGCGUCGAAUGGUGUACGUAAGUUAUCCUGGAGCGGUGAGUAAAGCAAAUGUAGGAAUAAGUAACGAUAAGGAGGGUUAGAUUCCCUCCCGCUGUAAGACCAAGGUUUCCCGGGCAAUGCCAAUCAGCCCGGGGUCAGUCGGGUCCUAAGUCUAAGCCGAACGGCGAUGGCGAUGGCAGAGACGGUUAAUAUUCCGUCACUGCCGCAUGGGGCGACGUGGAGACGGAGCAGUGAAACCACCGCGGGGCGACGGAAGUCCCCGUUGAAGAGUGUAGGUGUUGAGGAUGGCAGGCAAAUCCACCGUCCGAGCUGAACUUGAUAGUAUGGAGUCUUCUUCGGAAGAAUCCAAUAGUGUGGGUAAUCAUACUCCCGAGAAAAUCCGCUAAGCUUAACCCAUGCGGCACCCGUACCGCAAACGGACACACGUGGUCGGGUAGAACAUACU